This 344-nucleotide unclassified non-coding RNA is filed under the name soil metagenome. RNAcentral describes it as "partial contains 5.8S ribosomal RNA, internal transcribed spacer 2, and large subunit ribosomal RNA". The stretch from base 1 to 120 matches the Rfam family "5.8S ribosomal RNA", at positions 35 to 154 of the family's 154-position model. The record is from RNAcentral.
GAUGAAGAACGGAGCGAAAUGCGAUAAGUAAUGUGAAUUGCAGAAUUCAGUGAAUCAUCGAAUCUUUGAACGCACAUUGCGCCCGCCAGUAUUCUGGCGGGCAUGCCUGUUCGAGCGUCAUUUCAACCCUCAAGCCCCCGGGCUUGGUGUUGGGGAUCGGCGUGCCCUCGCGGCGCGCCGUCCCCUAAAUCUAGUGGCGGUCUCGCUGUAGCUUCCUCUGCGUAGUAGCAACACUCGCACUGGAUCGCAGCGCGGCCACGCCGUUAAACCCCCCACUUCUGAAAGUUUGACCUCGGAUCAGGUAGGAAUACCCGCUGAACUUAAGCAUAUCAAUAAGCGGAGGA